Micropterus dolomieu (smallmouth bass) is the source of this 571-nucleotide long non-coding RNA. RefSeq lists it as uncharacterized. The record is from RefSeq and is a predicted model, not a curated record. The transcript is spliced from 3 exons. NCBI's taxonomy places the organism in Eukaryota, Metazoa, Chordata, Actinopteri, Centrarchiformes, Centrarchidae.
GUUCGCAGGAUCUAGUCUCUUCCAGAUACCCCCCUCUGACCCACUCAAGAUUCAGACGUUCGAACGACAGGCAAAGCCACGGGACCCGAAUCCACCCCACCAAGGCUUUGACCAUCCCCUAUCUUCAACCAUUCGAGUGGACAGUUGCUCGCCUGAAGCACACACUAGGAAGGGUCUUGGAGCUGCCUCAAGCUGAGGACAUAACCUCAUCACUCGGAGAACUAAGGUUACAUAUGUAACCCACUUCUGCAAGGACAGUUUUGAGUGCUGCCGUGCAGAAGAGAAUGCUGUCAUUUAAGUGUGAAAUCAUUGCGACCUUCCUACACUCCAUUCACCUCCAGUUAACAUCCAGUCUCAGCAGUCAUCAGAAGUCUACUCCUUAUCAUAUCCAGAUCUUCAGCCAUCCUUUCAACAUCACCACUAGUGUCUAGACUCGACCAAGGGGAUGUCCUGUACUUCUCAAGGAUUCACUACCCCUCAAAAUACAAUGACGUCACGAUGGGGUAUAAUCGCCAAAGACUCUUCACAUUUCUCAUCUUUGUUGUGCAAAUAAAAUAUUUGUUCACUCAUA